CUAAAACUCGAAAUGAGAGAAAUAGAGAAAUUUAGAACUAUCCCAAUAAAUUAAGAAUAUCUUGUGUAAAAUAUGACAAAUCCUUUCAUUAAGGGUAUUAUAGACAUUUUAUCAAAAAUAAAUAGUAGCAGAUCAUUUAUAAAAAUCUCCCUAAUACCACUGCUUUGUCUGAACCCCAUUUCUUAGAGGCUUGUUUCCUCGUAAGAAACGACUGGGUGAAAAACGAAGACAUCUACAUGAACAGAGGGGAAAAGCAAUCUCCAGUGUAAAACAAAAAAUGAAGAUUGAUGAAGCCAAAAAGGAGAAGAGGAACCUCUCUGUAUCCAUGAAAAAUAUACUUAUUAUUAUUAUUCUUCUUCUUCUUCAUCGCUUUUGGUCUGCUCCGAUUGCUUUGUCUUCUUCAUCUUCUUCCUCUGCUUCAUCUGCUUCUUCUUUUUCCUCUGCUUCAUCGGCUUCAUCUUCUUCCUCUGCUUCCUCUUCGUCUGCUUCAACUCCUCCCCCAGCUCCACUGCCAGAUCCCCCUCCACCGCCACCGUCACCUCCUCCCCCUUCUUCGUCUUGGUGGAAUCACAGGAUCAAGCAGUUUCUCUCUAGUGGGAUAGACCGGAUCGACCCGAUUAUUAAAGUUUUCCAACUCAUAAAGGAUGUUUUGGUAUAUUUUCGUGAUCUACCCGGCUGAGAAUGUUUGUCUAAGCUUAAAGCUUGUUUGCUGGCGCCAGCGUGGAAAAGAUUUAGAGAAGGUUUUUGAUUAAUGGAAUUUCCCUAAUUUUGAGCUAAAAUGAUCUACCUAAGUUGAAUGGGAUUCCCUUUUGAGCUUUCAUCGUUUAGCUUCCAUUUUGCUUUUUUCCAAAGACGAGACUGUAUUUUAUUUGACAUUGUUGAAUGUUUAUUGAGUUCUAUUUGUAGUUUAUGUAAAAAUUGAACCUUGUUCUUGUUCUUCAAGACCGCUUCUAUAGUAAAUUUUUAGGAUAAGACUGAGAAUACACUUUUCGGUGCACAGUGUCUCACACCUUCUCACAAGGGAGCUCACACAUACAUUUGAAUGAAACUUUCCUAUCAAAAAUGGAA
RNAcentral lists this long non-coding RNA (1068 nucleotides) under Olea europaea subsp. europaea. The record is from RNAcentral. Lineage: Eukaryota; Viridiplantae; Streptophyta; Magnoliopsida; Lamiales; Oleaceae.